CAGACUGUGACAUUACAAUAACUAGACGAGAGCAUCAGCGCAAGGAUGAAGUCAAUACAGGCAAUGCUACUGAUGCUUUUUGUUGCAUCUGUCUUUUCAAAACCAUUUCCUUUGCGCAGAGGAUUUGAUUCAUCAGACUCAAGAUCCAGUUCCAGCGAGGAUUCAAACUCUGAAUCUGAAUCAAAUGAGUCUAAAUCAAGGGAAUCUGAAUCAAAUGAGUCUAAAUCAAGGGAAUCUGAAUCUUCUGAGGAUGUUAUUGUGCCACGCACAAUCCCUCCAACUAGAAGAACAACAAAUCCGCCGACCACUGUCAGGACAACAAGACCCACAAUCCCCACGACAGAAGACACCACAACCUGGGUUACGCAGAAUAUGACCAGUACUAACAAGACAUGUGGAAGGCUUGAUGAUAUCUGCGA
Rhinichthys klamathensis goyatoka is the source of this 419-nucleotide long non-coding RNA. RefSeq lists it as uncharacterized. The record is from RefSeq and is a predicted model, not a curated record. NCBI's taxonomy places the organism in Eukaryota, Metazoa, Chordata, Actinopteri, Cypriniformes, Leuciscidae. The transcript has 3 exons.